GACGAACGCUGGCGGCGUGCUUAACACAUGCAAGUCGAACGGAAAGGCCCUGCUCUUGUGCGUUGCUCGAUUGGCGAACGGGUGUGUAAAACGUGAGUAAACUGCCCUUGACUUUGGGAUAACUUUACGAAACUGCGGAGCAUAUCCCGUAGGAUCUCCUGCAGCAUGGGGGUGGUUGGUAAGUUUCGGCGGUUCUGGAUCGACUCGCGGCAUAUCCGCUUGUUUGGCUGGUAGGUGCUUACCAAGGGUACGACGGGUAGCCGGCCUGAGAGGUUGACCGGGGUCAUGGGUCCUGCGAUAGGGCGCAGACUCGAACGGGAGGCAGCAGGGGAGAAUCUUGCGCAGCGGGCGGAAGCCUGAUGCAGCAACGUCGGGUGCGGAAUGACGGCCUUCGGGUUGUAAACAGAUUUCGAAUGAGACGAAGCGUGAGUGACGGUAAUUGGUAAAGAAGCAACGGCUAACUACGUG
This 468-nucleotide ribosomal RNA is filed under the name uncultured bacterium. RNAcentral describes it as "partial 16S ribosomal RNA". It matches the Rfam family "Bacterial small subunit ribosomal RNA", at positions 28 to 507 of the family's 1533-position model. The record is from RNAcentral.